AGUGAAAUUAGUAAACAUAAAUAAAUGUCUCUCCUCUUACUGAGGUUCUUUGAAUGAUAACUCAAGUAUGUACCUCAGCCACUGUUGGGACUGAUGUGGACAAACCUGUAGAGAGGAGGAAAGAGAGAGGGAACGAAGAAGGAAAUGUUGCAGAAAGGACGGGAAAGGUUCUGCAGAGCAGCACAUGAAACUACUGAUAUGGCCAAAAAAGUCUGAGAAAUAAGAAGCUAACAAAGUCAGAUGAGUUUCUUUAGUACAGGGUUUCUGAGAAACUUUAAAAUAUCAAAAUGCGCAGUGAAGGGACAGAUGAACCUCCUCUAAACAGCCCUACCACGCACUCUUCAAAUUUUCUCAGAUUUCCUGAUUCUCUUUUCCCAUUUUUUCAAAGUCCUUUCGCAAUGAGUUCUCCUCCACCUCACCAUCGUCUCACAGGAUGAAUGAAACAGCUUGAAAAGCUUGUCGUACUGAGAAAGUCCUGAGUUCUGAGGGUCAGCCCUCACCCCAUUCCCGGUUCUCCUCCGUACAUGAUGCUGGCAGGUUGCUUUACGUUCUCCCAGUCUCGAGUUCUAGUGUGUAAAUAAAGUGAUCACGUCAGCUAAGUCUCUAAGAUUACUUCCAGCUCAAGUAUUCCCAAUUCCACACAAGAAAACAAACAGAAAUAUACCGCUUCCUGAGAACAAAGCAUAUUUUUAUGCAGUCUACAUACAAAACAGGAAUCCACAUUUGUAUGAUGCCUUUGUAGUCUUGGAAGGAAUUUCUUCCAAUUUUUAGUCAAAUCAUAAAACCCUGAGAGGCGUCAAUAUUUACAGUUCUCUUUUUAUAAGUGAGGGGCUCUCCUAAGAGUCUUUCCUGACUCAGACAGUGUUCUCUUCAAAUUCGUCCUCCACGCACUAUCAAGAAAUGUUCCUCAAAUGAAAACGUACCCGUGUCAGUCUCUUAUCCAGGACCUUUCAAUGGCUCUCCGCAGCAUUCAAGCCCUACCACUCCGCACGGCCUUCCUCCUCGUCCUCCUAAGUUCCUGCUUCAGCAACCCACACCAAUCCUUUGUGACCUCACCCUCAUUGCCCUUCCUCCUCCCUUGCCUCCUCCUCUCCCCUCCCUUCCUCCUCCCUUUCCCUCCCCCCACAGGGGCAAACAGUGAAGUGUACAUGAAAUUGGAAUUGGAAGGAGAGAAAACUUCCGAUGGAGGAAGAACUCAGCAGGGAAAGAAUAAUCCAUGA
This 1220-nucleotide long non-coding RNA is filed under the name Chinchilla lanigera (long-tailed chinchilla). RNAcentral describes it as "lncRNA (ENSCLAG00000027422.1)". The record is from RNAcentral. Lineage: Eukaryota; Metazoa; Chordata; Mammalia; Rodentia; Chinchillidae.